RNAcentral lists this microRNA precursor (68 nucleotides) under Canis lupus familiaris (dog). RNAcentral's name for it is "miRNA (ENSCAFG00000055646.1)". The record is from RNAcentral. Lineage: Eukaryota; Metazoa; Chordata; Mammalia; Carnivora; Canidae.
UCCCAUGCAAUAUUUGGGACAUACUUAUACUAAAAAUUGUGCUGUUUAUAUGAACUUAAAAUUUAAUU